Molecule: long non-coding RNA, 3273 nt
Filed under: Homo sapiens (human)
Lineage: Eukaryota; Metazoa; Chordata; Mammalia; Primates; Hominidae
Description: HSALNT0373175
Source: RNAcentral
GGAUGGUCUCGAUCUCCUGACCUCGUGAUCCGGCUGCCUCGGCCUCCCAGAAUGCUGGGAUUACAAGCGUGAGUCACCCACCGCGCCCGGCCCCAAGCCCUUGUCUUUUAAUGGGUCAAUUGCAUCAUCCUCACCUAUGAAUGACAGCACUGGAAAUGGUGACUCCAUGGGUAAAUACAUGGUUUUAUUUUUCCUUUUCUUUUCUUUUUUUUGAGAUGGUGUCUCUCUAUGUUGCCUAGCCUGGUCUCGAACUCCUGGGCUCAAGUGAUCCUCCUGCCUCAGCCUCCCAAAGUGCUAAGAUUACUGGUGUGAGCCACCAUGCCGGUCCAGCAAUCCAUGGUUCCAUAUAGGUGAAUAGGAAGACUUUCUUUCUUAUUAUUUAGAUAUCUUUGAAAGAUAAUCAGUAGUUUAAAGCAAAAUUAGCUCCAUACUAAAUAUUCAUACUAGCUAUUUUAAUUUUUAUAAUUAUACUAUUGAAGUGGAUACUCUUAUGCAGACUUUACAAAUGAACAAACUGAAGUUUAGAGAUUCUAAAUAUUCUAAAUAAAUAGGUCAUAUAGGCAUAUCAUUAUACUGUCUAUUGCUCAAUGCCCUUGACAGUGCACAGUUCCUUGGCUAAAAGUAUGUGGAAGCAGGGAAAAAUGAAUCCAGCAAUUACUAUAUUUAGCUGCUUUUACAAAUGCCUCUUGGUUAAAAAAAAAAAAAAAAAGACAUUCAUUGGUAGACAUUACCACAUUGCCAAGUCACUCAUAAAUCUAAGUACGAAAGUCAGUAAAAAAGGAUGAUGUUAUCUGAUUCACUGAAAGGGAAAUAAGCUGAGAUCUGCUGCGUUAGGACAAAGGCCAGCUGGGCUUUAUGAGAAUUCAGAUGGCAAGGAACAAGCUUUUUAUGGCAAUGACAGAGGGAGAAGGGAACAAUAUUAUAAGGAAGAAUCUUUGUGGUUCAAACAGAUUAUGUGGUUUAUUAUUUUCAUUUAGAUUAGGGAAAAAAUCAGUGGGCACAGAAUAAAUAGCAACUGCCUCUUUCCCCCUCCCCAGCAAGCAGAAUAUUGAUUUCCUCUUUGAGGAAAGGACACAUUAAAAAGAAUACUCUUGAGAUGAUAAAUAUGCUAAUUAAUGUGAUCUAAUCCCUAUACAUUAUGUAUAUGGAAACACCACUAUGUACCCCAUGAAUGUGUACAAUUAUUGUCAAUUUAAAAAUACAAUUUUAAAAACACUCAUUUUAUUUUUUUAAAUUAAUUGUUCUUAUUUUAAAAAUUAUUAUUUUUUAGGGAUGGGAUCUCACUGCAUUGCUCAGGCUGGUCUCAAACUCCUGGGCUCAAGCAAUCUUCCUGCCUUAGCUUCCCAAAGUUCUGGGAUUACAGGCAUGAGCCACCACUCCCAGCCAAAAAAAAAAAUACUCAUUUAAAGCUGCACAAGUUUGAUGGCACAAGUCUGUAUAACUGGACCUGUGCCUUUAUAAAACCUCAAACACUGCAAAGGUUCAUGAAACAAUGUAUAUCUAUUCUUCUUAUUCACUGUCAUCAAUGCUGACCAGGGAAAAUUGCACAGGUGCACGUGUGUGUGUGUGUGUGUAGGGCUAGUGAAGCAGGCAACUACCAGAGAUACAUUAUUAAAAAGCUAACAUUUAUUGGCCAGGCGCGGUGGCUUACGUCUGUAAUCCCAGCACUCUCACGGGUGGUGCCUCCCCGGCAAUGGGGGUCCCAAGAUCCAGGGGGGGAAAAGGGGAUGGCUCUCAGCCACCACAAAAUGGGGGGCCUUUAUGUUCAGGUUUUGCCCAAGAGUCAGCUUAUUUGCUUCUUGUACUAGCAGGGCAGUUGCUGCCAAGGCCUCAAACAGGGGAGCCAUCCUUCAGAAACCCUGUCUAGUUGUUCAGAGACGUAGGCCACCGGCCUCAGCCAGGGCCCCACAGUUUGGGUUAAAAGUCCAGCUGCCAUCUUUUCUCUCUCUAACGCAUACAAUGGAAAAGGCUUUGUCAGAUCGGGUAGCCCCAGGGCUGGGGCUGCCAGAAGUUUUUCCUUUAAGUCAUGAAAGACUUGCUGUUCUUGGAUCCCCAUUCCAAAGGUUCCGGUCCCCGCCCCCUUUGUGACCUCAUACAAAGGCUUGGCUAAUACUGCAAAGUUUGGGAUCCACAGUCUACAAAACCCCACAUCCCCUGAGAAUUCUCUCGCCUGCCUUAGGCACUUAGGCUCCGGGAGAUUGCAAAUAACCUGCUUUCUUUCUGUUCCCGGGCUGCGUUCGGACUCCUGUCAGAUAGUAAAUCCUAAGUGGCGUCGGACCCCUGUCAGAGAGUAAAUCUCAAGUAAGGUACCUGCCAUCGGCAGAUUUGAGCUUUCUUCUUGGACACCUAAUACCCACAGUCCUCCAGGCUCCGGUAGACUGCAAAUGACCUGCUUUCUUUCUGUUCCCGGGCUGCGUUUGGACCCCUGUCGGAUAGUAAAUCCCAAGUAAGGCUCCGGUAGACUGCAAAUGACCUGCUUUCUUUCUGUUCCCGGGCUGCGUUUGGACCCCUGUCGGACAGUAAAUCCCAAGUAAGGUACCUGCCCUCGGCAGAUUUGAGCUUUCUUCUUGGACACCUAAUACCCACAGUCCUCCAGGAAUGGAACAGAUAAGAAGAUACUGAAAUUGGACGGUGCUGCCGUGCGGCUGCCGCAGGACACCUUUAAUAUCCCUGUUUCUCAGGCUGUAGAUGAAGGGGUUCAGCAUGGAGGUGAUCACCGUGUACAUCACUGAGGCCACUGCAGCCUUUCUCGGGGAAGAUGACACAUCUGAACUGAGGUACCCUCCAAAGCCUGUUCCGUAAAAUCAGCAAACAACUGACAGGAUAACUUCAGGAAGUGGGUAUUAAUUCUCACGGUAUAAGUGAAGACAUUAAGCACCAGAGUUUAAGUAGCUUGAUCCACUGAAAGAGAUUCAACUGUGUGGAACCUAUGCCGUGGAGAAUUGCUUUCUGCCAUUGUUAUCGUCCAGCAGUUGCCGAAUAGCUCUGACCUGAGCAAAGCAGUGAAACGCGGUGCUGUUGAGUGGGUUGCCACUGCACCUUUUUCAACUACUCUAGUCUUGUGGAGAAAAUACCCCUUCUAAAUUUUUUCUUCAUUGAAUACUCUCCCUCAGCUCCAGAGUACCAUAUAGAGUUUUCUUGUAUUUUAGAGUUACUGUUUUAUCAAAGUUUACCAGUCUUUUGUAUUACAUUUCUCCUGUCUAAAUCGACUGUGUGGUUUCUACUCAUUAUGGAUAUAGAUUGAUACAAACUCAAUAAAUAUUUUUGAAUGAA